CCUGCCAGUAGUGAUAUGCUUGUCUCAAAGGCUAAGCCAUGCAAGUGUUAGUAUAAACUGACUUAUAUAGUGAAACUGCGAAUGGCUCAUUAAAUCAGUUAUAGUUUAUUUGAUGGAUACGUGCUUCGGUACACUACAUGGAUAACUGUAGUAACAUAGAGCUAAUACAUGCUUAAAGACUUGACUUUCGGGAAGAGUCCGCACUUAUUAGAUUACAAACCAAUACCACUUGUGGUUCCUUUGGUGAUUCAUAAUAACUGAACAAAUCGCAUGGCUUUACGCUGGCGAUGUAUCAUUCAAAUUUCUGCCCUAUCAACUUGUUGUUAGUGUAUUGGACUAACAAGGUGAUAACGGGUGACGGAGAAUUGGGGUUCGAUUCCGGAGAAGGAGCAUGAGAAACGGCUACUAUUUCUAAGGAAAGCAGCAGGCGCGCAAAUUAUUCAAUGGGAACAACUUCCCGAAAUAGUGACAAAAAAUAACAAUGCACGACUUUUAGUUGUAUUAGAGGGCAAGUCUGGUGCCAGCAGCCGCGGUAAUUCCAGCUCUAAUAGCGUAUAUUAAUAUUGUUGCAGUUAAAACGCUCGUAGUUGAAUUUUGAAGUUUUAUUAGAUUGGUCCACUUGAUUGUGUGACUAUUUAAUGAACUUCUUCCUACUAGUGACUCGAUUCUGUUCUUAAUUGAAUGGGAUAGCUAUCUCUCGGGGUAGUCGCUUUGUUAUUUUAGCUCCUCUAUAGAAUCGUAGAGUGUAAAAGCUUGAAAAUUUUAUAUGUGGAUCAAGUUAGAAUGAUAAAGUGGAGUUCUAGUUCAUUUACUUUGAGAAAAUUAGAGUGUUCAAAGCAGCCUCUUGGGGCUUUGUAUAUAUUAGCAUGGGAUAAUGCAAUAGGAUCUGAUUGUUCUAUUUAUUGGUUUGAAGCAAUUAGAUAAUGAUUAAUAGGGACAGUUGGGGGUAUUUAUAUUAAAUGGUUAGCGGUGAAAUGCUCGGACCCAUUUAAGAUAAACUAAAGCGAAAGCAUUUACCAAGGAUGUUUUCAUUAAUCAAGAACGAAAGUUAAGGGAUCGAAGA
This 1063-nucleotide ribosomal RNA is filed under the name uncultured soil eukaryote. Its description in RNAcentral is "SSU rRNA". It matches the Rfam family "Eukaryotic small subunit ribosomal RNA", at positions 13 to 1004 of the family's 1831-position model. The record is from RNAcentral.